This is a long non-coding RNA of Brassica napus (rape), 452 nucleotides long. RefSeq lists it as uncharacterized. The transcript is spliced from 2 exons. The record is from RefSeq and is a predicted model, not a curated record. Lineage: Eukaryota; Viridiplantae; Streptophyta; Magnoliopsida; Brassicales; Brassicaceae.
AGUAGAAAGCAAGCGCUGAUGUCUCGACAUGGCACUAUAUUUUUUUGUAACCUUCAUUUAUGUCAGUUUUAGUUUGUGAGGCAGUAAUCAGAAGAGGGAUCGUGAACAAGGUGUUGAAAACGAGUGUGGCUGCUUUGGUGGAGCUCAAUAUGCUCAAGAAUCUCACAGGCACUUUGCUGUUGCAGGCUCUUUAGGUGGAUUCAACGCUCACACCAGAAAACUAGUUCUUGAUGUAUUCAUAGCUAUUUUCCCAAGAUCCAGCUCAAAAUAUGGAGAGCUCUCAAUGCAUCAAUGAUGGAAACCAUUAACGGGAAAUAUAUCCGUAUCUCUAUCACUACACCAACUACUCAGGCUGGGACAGUGGGAGGAGGAACGCAGCUUCCGUCUCAGUCGGUGUAGUCAAACCUGCUAGCAUUAAAGGAGCUACAACAAUUUGAUAUUAAUCUUGCCUU